GAUGAACGCUGGCGGCGUGCCUAAUACAUGCAAGUAGAACGCUGAAGGAGGAGCUUGCUCUUCUGGAUGAGUUGCGAACGGGUGAGUAACGCGUAGGUAACCUGCCUGGUAGCGGGGGAUAACUAUUGGAAACGAUAGCUAAUACCGCAUGACAACAGUUAUUGCAUGAUAACUGUUUAAAAGGGGCAACUGCUCCACUACCAGAUGGACCUGCGUUGUAUUAGCUAGUUGGUGAGGUAACGGCUCACCAAGGCGACGAUACAUAGCCGACCUGAGAGGGUGAUCGGCCACACUGGGACUGAGACACGGCCCAGACUCCUACGGGAGGCAGCAGUAGGGAAUCUUCGGCAAUGGACGGAAGUCUGACCGAGCAACGCCGCGGGAGUGAAGAAGGUUUUCGGAUCGUAAAGCUCUGUUGUAAGAGAAGAACGAGUGUGAGAGUGGAAAGUUCACACUGUGACGGUAGCUUACCAGAAAGAGACGGCUAACUACGUG
RNAcentral lists this ribosomal RNA (495 nucleotides) under uncultured bacterium. RNAcentral describes it as "partial 16S ribosomal RNA". It matches the Rfam family "Bacterial small subunit ribosomal RNA", at positions 28 to 507 of the family's 1533-position model. The record is from RNAcentral.